GUAGGUGAACCUGCGGAAGGAUCAUUACAAGUCGGUUGGGGGGGGUGGUGGGGAGGUUGGAGUUGAAGGUUGAGAGUUGGGAGUUGGGAGUUGGAGGUUGAAGGCUGGGGGCUCCUAGUGAGGAUUGGAUUCUCAGUAGGAGUCUUCGGUCUCCAAUCUCCGGUCUCUAUUCUCCGGUCUCUAGUCUCUAGUCUCCAGUCUCUCCACUGCGCCCCCGACACAUUAGCUCAAGGUCGCAAGGCCUUGAUGU
RNAcentral lists this unclassified non-coding RNA (250 nucleotides) under plant metagenome. Its description in RNAcentral is "partial contains small subunit ribosomal RNA, internal transcribed spacer 1, and 5.8S ribosomal RNA". The record is from RNAcentral.